GGAAUUUUGGACAAUGGGCGAAAGCCUGAUCCAGCCAUUCCGCGUGAGUGAAGAAGGCCUUCGGGUUGUAAAGCUCUUUCGCAAGGGAAGAAAACUUAUAUUCUAAUAAAGUAUGAGGAUGACGGUACCUUGAUAAGAAGCACCGGCUAACUACGUGCCAGCAGCCGCGGUAAUACGUAGGGUGCGAGCGUUAAUCGGAAUUACUGGGCGUAAAGCGUGCGCAGGCGGUUUUGAAAGUCAGAUGUGAAAUCCCCGAGCUCAACUUGGGAACUGCGUUUGAAACUCCAAAGCUAGAGUAUAGGAGAGGGGGGUAGAAUUCCACGUGUAGCAGUGAAAUGCGUAGAGAUGUGGAGGAAUACCAAUGGCGAAGGCAGCCCCCUGGCCUAAUACUGACGCUCAUGCACGAAAGCGUGGGGAGCAAACA
This 424-nucleotide ribosomal RNA is filed under the name uncultured Methylophilus sp. RNAcentral's name for it is "bacterial SSU rRNA". It matches the Rfam family "Bacterial small subunit ribosomal RNA", at positions 358 to 774 of the family's 1533-position model. Lineage: Bacteria; Pseudomonadati; Pseudomonadota; Betaproteobacteria; Nitrosomonadales; Methylophilaceae. The record is from RNAcentral.